RNAcentral lists this non-coding RNA (110 nucleotides) under Chloropicon mariensis. The record is from RNAcentral. Lineage: Eukaryota; Viridiplantae; Chlorophyta; Chloropicophyceae; Chloropicales; Chloropicaceae.
AAAUGUUCUCGACCAUUCCACAUAUAGACUUGGGAUCUCUGGAACAGAAAAUAAAUUUGCAUUACUACAAUUAAAAGAGAAAGAGGGACACUAUAAAUUAUAACAGGACC